GUCGUUUUGUCCGAGUGGUUAAGGAGAUGGCCUGCUAAGCCAUUGUGCUUUGCACGCGCAAGUUCGAAUCUUGCAGGCGACG
This 82-nucleotide transfer RNA is filed under the name Hesseltinella vesiculosa. It matches the Rfam family "tRNA". Rfam says of the family: Transfer RNA (tRNA) molecules are approximately 80 nucleotides in length. The record is from Rfam by way of RNAcentral. Lineage: Eukaryota; Fungi; Mucoromycota; Mucoromycetes; Mucorales; Cunninghamellaceae.